CAUCGUUCCUAGUCGGAUUCGUUAACCACUGCACCAUGACGGGAACUCCACAUUAGAGAGUUUUUAAUCAGAGAUAAAAUGAUCAGUUGUUUGCGAGACCCCCUUUCAGAAUUCAGUCAGGAGACCAAAUUACAGAUCUGAGGAUUGCUUGAUGAGCAGAAAAUAGGAACAAAGGAAAUGUUCCCAACCAAGUAGGUUUAGCAGGAAGAUCUGUUCCUCCUCCUCUGUCUGUCCCCCUCUGGACAGGGGAUAUUCUGUCCAGAGAACUGAUCCAGUCCUGCCUGACCCCUGCCAGUUGUCAAGAGCAGCCUUCUUUCGGAUAACCCCAAGGCCCAAGGCGCAUUCUGCUCCCAGGCUUAGUGCUUAUUUCACAUCCACUUCUGGUUAGAUUGACCUUUUCCCAAUGAGCUUGCAGGCACCAUUCAUUAACAGCACACUCAGAUUUUGUUUCUUUGGGCAGGUUGCCAUAGGAACAACCAGAGAGGAAGAGCUCCUUUCCUCUCACUUAGGAUGAACCCUGUUUGUGGCCAGCAGCUCCCAGGGCACUGGUGACCACCCUAUGGAUUAGCAAUAAAAAUAACAACAACAACAAAAAAGUCUGAUUCAUUGAGAAGCAGCCUGGGGAUUGAAAAACUUGACAUGUGAAAUAGGAACACUUAGAUGUUAUUUCUUCUCUCCCAUUUACUGUUUGUUUGACUUUGGGUGAACGAUGACAUUUAUCUGAGCUUGACUUUUCUUGUAUAAAGCGUAAUUAAUGGGGCUGUCCUCACACGGUUGCUGAGGAGACUGGAUGAGUUAACGAUUUGGAAAAUGUAAACUGGUGCUUUACAAAGAGUAAAAAUCAAAGCAUGUAUUAGAGUGCUUCCAUUUUUUACCAAAAAACCUCAGUCAUCUGCACUUUUUAAAUUUAAUCCUCAAAAUAAUACCUAUUUUUUAUGCAUAAGAAAACUGAAGAUGAAUUGCCUUGCUCAUGAUCCAGGACUGUGAAGAUGGAAAGAGAAUUGUUUGUUCUUCCACUUUCUAGACCAGCACUCUCCCUAUUCAGGUUCUUCUUAAUGCAAACUGAAGACUCCUCUCACUGGCCUCCACCACUAAAAUGGGAACUCUGUGUGAUUUUCUCUCUUGGAAUUGGAAGGCAGACACUUAAUUACCCCUUUCAAUUGCUUGACAUUAUAGGAUUAUAGAUUUACUGGCACAUGCUUAUAAGGAAAAUUGUAUUCUAAACCCUGGAAUAAUCAUCCCCAUCUUUUUUCAUAUGCAAGAUGAAUGGAAGGAAUCUGGUUCCAUUCAUUACAAACAGUAUUUCCUAGGAUGGCUUGCAAGCUUUGAAAGUAAUUCUUAUGGACAUAGGGUGAUUAUUAUAGCAUACUUCUCCAUGUAGCAAGUUAGGUUUUAAUAGCUGUCACCCCAAAUCAUUAGGAAGAACUAGGGACCUUAUCUAUUGGUGCUUGCUAAUAGUGCUGUCCCCUGAACUGAGGGGACACAUGUGAUAGAGCUGCACCUUGAAGCAGAGCCCUGGCUCCCACAGUGCCCAUGCAGCAUAAACAGUGUAUCAACCUCUGAGCAAGAAAUGAACCACUAUGCUGUAAGCAUCUAACAUUUGGGGAUUCUUGUUAUAGCAAAGCCAUAAACAAACAAAGCCCCUGCUGGGCUCAGCUGCCCCAGCACUGGCCUCUUGUCCCCAGUGCAGUUGGAACCUACCACUUCCAGUUAACCCUGGGCCCAGAGUCUGAGUGGAGCAGUAUGACUACCUGCCCACUUUUAAACCAUGAAGUGACAGGAAGAGAAAUGUCUUUCCCUCUUCACUCCCCACCCAUCUCGGUGUCACCUGCAGUGAGGAGAGGUGUGCAGGUGCUGGGCAGCCAGCACAUCAGGGCUUCCUCUGGGAAAUGACUUUGUGAUGCACCAAGCAUCACACAGUUGGCUUUCUCAUCUGCCUCUAGGCUGUGAGUUUUGAGAGCAGGUUGAAUCUUUCACCUUGACAUACACAAACCCUUUUCCUUCAUGAAUCAUAUCUUCAUCCUCCACUUCAUCAUCCAUGACAGAUAUAUUCUUGAUGGAUGAAUGAAUGAAUGAAUGAAUGAGAAACAUUUCCCCUGCUUUGAGAAUGUACUUUCCUAGGGUGAGUCUUAUGAUGGGCCUGGUAUUAAGUUACUAGGGCUGUAGUAACAAAGUACCACAAACUGGUGGCUUAAGCAACAGAAGUUUAUUAUCUCACAGUUACAGAGGUGAGAAGUCCAAGAACAAGGUGUCUUUGGGCUGGUUCCUUCUGAAAGAUGUGAAGAAAAUAUGUUGCAUGAUUCUCUCCCAGCUUCUGGUGAUUUGCUAGCAAUCUUUGGCAUUCCUUGGCUGUUAGAAGCACCACUCUGAUCUCCGCCUUCAACAUGCCAUGGUCUGCUCCCUGCAUAUGUCUGUGUCCAAAUUUUCCCCUUCUUCUAAGGACAUCAUUCAUAUUGGAAUGCCCCCCCACAACCUCAUUUGAACUUGAUCCUUUUGUAAAGACCCCAUCUCUAACGGUCACCCUCUGAUAUGUGUUGGGUUAAGACCCAGCAUAUCUUUUCUUGGAGGGGGCACAAUUCAACCUCUCCUAGGCAGUGUGUUUUCUUAUUUUAAUUUUGUUUUCUGUAGUUUUAUGAGUUUUGGCCAUUGGUACUCAAUAUGGCAUUGGUAAUCCAAAAACUUUGGUACAAAGGAAGAAGAUUGAUAAAAGGAUCAGAAAUACUACUUUCACCCCCCCACCCCAACUCAUGGGAUAAACAAAGGGGACCCCAGCCUGGAAAUGGGGUGGGGUCUUACCUUGGUGCAUGACUGCUUCCUGCUGACAUGACUGUUCCUUUGGCCUCAGGCUCCAGAUAGUUCGAGUCAGCCUGUGAUAUUGAUCCUUGUCCAAGUGACCUCGUGAGCUGUCCCUGCCUCAGGCCCAGUGGGCACAUCUACAAGAACCAUCCCUCUUUUUUUUUUUUCCUCUGAGAGAUGGUUCUGGAAGCAAUGUGGGUCCCUGGUCAUUUUCAUGUAGAUAAUAAACUCCGUCUCUGGCACCUGCUAAGUUUUGCUCUCUCGUUAGAGUAGAACAGAUCACUGAUCUUAUAGAACAAGUGUUCUUCCCUCGUAAAUGGCAGACAUAAGUUCAGCGGUACCAGAUCAAUAUCAAUUUCAUAUUUAGGCCUGGGGAUCACUCACUGGCAAGACACCAGGCACGCCAUUCUGUCUGCUGCUGGAAUAGCCUGCGAACAUUUCCCAUUGGAGGCCAGGGGCCUAAUGUUUCCUUAGACAGCGUCUUUAAGGCACUGGACUGAUGUCUCUGUCAAUAGGGGAAAAUACUAACACUGCACCCAUGGCAAGGAAUUCUUUCUACAUAGACUUCUAUUAGCCGUAGAUCACAGACUUUUGUCUGAUAUCAUGCCCCAUGGAGAGAGAAGUCAAGAUAAGCGAGGCAGCAAACUGAUGAGGGGUAGGUUACUGGAGCGUGUGUCCCGCCUAAUGUUGUGUGUCAGCGAGACUAUCCCGAGACAGCUCUGAGGAAGAGGCUCUGGGUGCAGCAAAUGAACUUAGGGUUGAAGGAAGAGGAAUACACAUCAGUAAGGGACACACUUUUACCAGCUGACGUCUCUACAAUUCUGCUAUAUAAAUGACAUUGGAUUUUCUGACAGGGUUCUGAGAUAACAGGUAACUAUACCCAAAAUGAAAUGAGUUGGCUUUUUUUAGGCAUGUGGAUAGAAAAUUGCUUUUUCUCUAAAACGGGCAUUGGCAAGCUCUGCUCCUGGUUAUGAAUUAGUUCCCGGACAGCAGUGGGAGUUUUGAGGGAGGCCAGGGAAGGUCACGUUAGGAUGGAGGAUGUGUUGGGAAAUGGCAGGCACCAGGUGGUUCUUGGUGCUGGAAGGGGCCUGGAGAGCCUGGAAUCUUGGCUUUACUCCGCUGGGUCAGGGUGAAUUCAAAAUAGCCUCAUCGAGUUGGACCUUAUGAAAAUGCCUUUUGUAUGUCAAACAAUUGAUUAUCAGCAAUUUUACAUGCUUUAUCACCACAUGCCCCAUGCUGCAUUUAGGAAUUGUAGUUAAUGUACAGAUGUUCUAAAGUCAUUUAGUAAAUGGGCGAGGGGAGAAGUGUGGUUAGAGGGUAUGGAUGGAGGGCAUGUGUGUUAGGCAGGGUUCCCCAGAGAAGUAAAACCGCUACUAUCUAUCUAUCUAUCUAUCUAUCUAUCUAUCUUCAUCUAUAGAUGCUGUGGCCAGAGCAGAGAGAGAAGCCUGCACUCUGGGCUGGAGUCAUCUGGGUCCCACGGUUGAGGGCAGCCCUUCCAUCUUUCAGAGCCUCAGUUUCUUCAGAUGGGUUAGAUACUCUACAAAUUUCUUCCCAAACCACACACUCCAAGAAAGUGGUGCCUGUGGGACUUUUGUAAUAAAACGUCUUCCAGAGACUUCAUCAUCACAGGGUCCGUUAAGGAGAUUCCCUCGUGAGCCUUUUGCAGAUUCCAUGCCCUCCUGCCUCUUUGGCUACCUUCCCCGCUCCACUGCACACUGACACGUGAUGGGCUGAGGGGUGCUAAGACAUUUGAAGGAGGCCUUUGUCUUUGAAAUUAAAGAUCAACCUGCUUGUGUCCUUCUCCAUUUUCCUGGGGAAACUGUGUGGCCUUUAACUUCUGGUUAAUAUUAUACUCUCUGGAACUUUCGGGACCCAUGCGCUUUUUUAAAAAGUUGUGCUUUUUUUCUCAUUUAAAAAUAUCUAGGAGAUUCAUGCUGGAGUAUGUAGCACACAACUGUAGUUCUGUCUACUCUCGAAGCAUGGGAGAGAUGCUGGGGGAAAGCAUGAUGUGUUUCCAUGUCUGAGCUCAGUCUAGUCCACUGACGUGAAACAACUUACUUUGUGAUGGUGCUCAAGACUCUCCCAUUUAUAAAAUGUCAUUGCUGGAAUCUUUCCCAAGAGCUGGUGCUUGUCUUCUAAUCAAGUUUCAGGGAGAAUGUCCAUCUUCUAGAACUUUUGGUCUCUGUCAUCUGGGAGAGUUAAUGGUCUUUCAAAACCUAAUUUCAAGGGGAAGAUCUAAGGAAGAUUAAUGGUAAGAAAAAUGUGGAAGCGAUCAUAUUAAUCAGUUUGCAGUCACUCAAACUUCAAAAAAUUUUCCUUUAAAACAACUAAUUUGCACAGCCUUUCAGCCAGUAAUGAAUCUCCAUGAAUUAUCACUAGAAAUUUCAUGUCAGAAGUUCUGUAGUUGUAAUACAAGCUUUGAAUUUCCACCUCAAUCUAGUUGGCUUUAGUUCACGGAAACAGACUCAUUUUCUCUUUCACCCUACCCCCACCCACUUCUGAGAAAUUGUUAUAGAGGCUUUUCCUACAUGACCUGCCUCAGGGUAACUAUUAACACCGCUUUCCCAGAGGUUCCUCCCUAACCAUGUUUCAAGAACACUUCUUUUUCCACCAAAAGGUCGUCAAAGUCACCUGCCUGCAGCUUGUGCAGCUGUAACCAGUUAUCCCAGAUUAACCUGUGGUGGGAACAGGCCUCUUGCAGGAGCCAGGGGCUGCGAGGGAGGCAGGAAGGGACUGCUUGACCUUGAGCCAGUGGAAGGACAGGUCAUUGCGUGAAACACAUCCCAAGACAUGGGCAAGUCCAGAAAUGUCUCAACAAACGUACAAAACCCCUCCUCCAUCCUGUCCUGUAACUGGGUCCAAUAUGCAUCUCAGAACACAGCACAGAUGCAGUGCCUGUCGGAGGCUUCCUGGCCACGUGAGCAGUUUGCACCCAGUAGGUGGGAGACCUGCCUCUCCAGGGGGCCAUGUCAGCUGCCGGCCGAAUGACUGCACAGCUUGCAGAGGGCUUGCUUCUGGUUGGUGUGGGACAAGGAGCUCGUCCCCUCCACACAUGGGGGAUCCCCAGCCCCAUGGAGAAAUGGACACUGCACCUCACUUCCUAGCAGUCAGGGCUGGAGAGGUGCCUUUUUAUGGAAUGCACAGCCCCCAGCCUUGUCAAGGACCGACUGUUUGAUGAGUUGCGAGUCAAGGAUAGUAAGUCAGCUGCAACCUUGACUGUAUUUUUCUGCAUAAGAUCCAUGGAAUCAGCCAUUUGGUACCUGUUCUGUUAUAUACAUGUUGCUGUGUUUUUCCUUCAUUGGAUAAAUAAAGCCAAGCUCUCUGUCUUUAGUUUGUUUUCACUCCCCCACUCCUGCUCUUUGAAGACUAGUUGUAGCCAAACCACACUGCCUGGCACGUGGCGCUCCCAGCAGUGGGCCAGUGGGCCAGCCUCCACUGUGUCCUGGACAUUUGACAAUGUUUGGAUUAAAUGAGCUGUAGAGAAUGUGCCAGAGGGAGACCAUGGUUUGUAGAGGUCAGGGCGGCACUGGUUUUAGUUCGGUGACUAUGGGAUUCCUUAACAGACACUGGGGUUUUAUGGUGAGGAGGCUAUUUCAAAUGUUUGUUCAGCAAUUUCCUGAAGCAGAAGUUGGUUAAAUAAAAUAAACUUAAAUGUCA
Non-coding RNA from Sus scrofa (pig), 6453 nucleotides. The record is from RefSeq and is a predicted model, not a curated record. NCBI's taxonomy places the organism in Eukaryota, Metazoa, Chordata, Mammalia, Artiodactyla, Suidae.